RNAcentral lists this ribosomal RNA (400 nucleotides) under uncultured bacterium. RNAcentral describes it as "bacterial SSU rRNA". It matches the Rfam family "Bacterial small subunit ribosomal RNA", at positions 355 to 772 of the family's 1533-position model. The record is from RNAcentral.
UGGGGAAUAUUGGACAAUGGGCGCAAGCCUGAUCCAGCCAUGCCGCGUGAGUGAUGAAGGCCUUAGGGUUGUAAAGCUCUUUCAGUGGGGAAGAUAAUGACGGUAGUCGGAGAAGAAGCCCCGGCUAACUUCGUGCCAGCAGCCGCGGUAAUACGAAGGGGGCUAGCGUUGUUCGGAAUCACUGGGCGUAAAGCGCACGUAGGCGGAUUGUUAAGUCAGGGGUGAAAGCCUGGAGCUCAACUCCAGAACUGCCCUUGAUACUGGCAAUCUCGAGUCCGGAAGAGGUAAGUGGAACUGCGAGUGUAGAGGUGAAAUUCGUAGAUAUUCGCAAGAACACCAGUGGCGAAGGCGGCUUACUGGUCCGGUACUGACGCUGAGGUGCGAAAGCGUGGGGAGCAAA